This 502-nucleotide ribosomal RNA is filed under the name uncultured bacterium. RNAcentral describes it as "partial 16S ribosomal RNA". It matches the Rfam family "Bacterial small subunit ribosomal RNA", at positions 28 to 507 of the family's 1533-position model. The record is from RNAcentral.
GACGAACGCUGGCGGCGUGCUUAACACAUGCAAGUCGAACGGUGAAGGGGUCUGCUUUUGUGGGCCCUGGAUGAGUGGCGAACGGGUGAGUAACACGUGAGUAACCUGCCCCCUUCUUCUGGAUAACCGCAUGAAAGUGUGGCUAAUACGGGAUAUUCUGGGUCUGUCGCAUGAUGGGUCUGGGAAAGAUUGCGCCUUUGGGUGUUUUUGGUGGGGGAUGGGCUCGCGGCCUAUCAGCUUGUUGGUGGGGUGAUGGCCUACCAAGGAGGUGACGGGUAGCCGGCCGGAGAGGGGGGACGGUCACACUGGGACUGAGACACGGCCCAGACUCCUACGGGAGGCAGCAGUGGGGAAUAUUGCACAAGGGGCGCAAGCCUGAUGCAGCGACGCCGCGUGAGGGAUGGAGGCCUUCGGGUUGUAAACCUCUUUCGCCAGUGAAGCAGGCCUGCUCCUUGUGGGUGGGUUGACGGUAGCUGGAUAAGAAGCGCCGGCUAACUACGUG